This 253-nucleotide ribosomal RNA is filed under the name uncultured bacterium. RNAcentral's name for it is "partial 16S ribosomal RNA". It matches the Rfam family "Bacterial small subunit ribosomal RNA", at positions 524 to 776 of the family's 1533-position model. The record is from RNAcentral.
UACAGAGGGUGCGAGCGUUGUUCGGAAUUAUUGGGCGUAAAGGGCGCGUAGGCGGUUGGGUAAGUCACCUGUGAAAUCUCCUGGCUCAACUGGGAGCUUGCAGGCGAAACUGCUUGACUGGAGUAUGGGAGAGGUGCGUGGAAUUCCCGGUGUAGCGGUGAAAUGCGUAGAUAUUGGGAGGAACACCAGUGGCGAAGGCGGCUCGCUGGACCGGUUCUGACGCUGAGGUGCGAAAGCGUGGGGAGCAAACAGG